GGCAAUCCGGAUGACAGGCGAUCCACGGGGGGUUAUGCUGUCUUCUUUGGCUCUAACCUGAUUGCCUGGAGUGCUCGGAAACAGGCUACUGUCUCGCGUAGCAGUACUGAGGCUGAGUAUAAGGCUGUGGCCAAUGCCACAUUAGAGAUUAUCUGGGUACAGUCCUUGCUUCAGGAGUUAAGUAUACCCCAAUCACAGCCUCUUGUUCUUUGGUGUGAUAACAUCGGUGCUACAUACCUUUCUGCAAAUCCGGUAUUCCAUGCCCGAACGAAACACAUUGAAGUUGACUAUCACUUUGUGCGUGAACGUGUCUCUCAGAAGCAACUACAGAUCAAGUUUAUUUCUUCCAAGGAUCAACUUGCUGACAUCUUCACCAAGCCAUUGCCUUUGCCACAGUUUGAGACUUGCAGGCGCAAUCUUACCCUUCUAGAUUCAUUAGAAAGUGGCUAA
Molecule: ribosomal RNA, 450 nt
Filed under: Triticum aestivum (bread wheat)
Lineage: Eukaryota; Viridiplantae; Streptophyta; Magnoliopsida; Poales; Poaceae
Description: partial small subunit ribosomal RNA
Source: RNAcentral